CAACUACUCCCUCCAUCCCAAAUUGCUUGUCUUAGAUUUGUCUAGAUACGGAUGUAUCUAAUACUAAAAUGUGACUUGAUAUAUCAGUAUCUAGACAAAUCUAAGAUAAGAUUUUGGGACGGAGGGAGUACUUU
This is a non-coding RNA of Triticum aestivum (bread wheat), 134 nucleotides long. NCBI's taxonomy places the organism in Eukaryota, Viridiplantae, Streptophyta, Magnoliopsida, Poales, Poaceae. The record is from Rfam.